RNAcentral lists this ribosomal RNA (253 nucleotides) under uncultured bacterium. RNAcentral describes it as "partial 16S ribosomal RNA". It matches the Rfam family "Bacterial small subunit ribosomal RNA", at positions 524 to 776 of the family's 1533-position model. The record is from RNAcentral.
UACAGAGGUCCCGAGCGUUGUCCGGAAUCAUUGGGCGUAAAGCGCGCGUAGGCGGCCUCAUAAGUCCGUUGUGAAAGUCAAAGGCUCAACCUUUGAAAGCCGAUGGAUACUGUGAGGCUAGAGUCCGGAAGAGGCGAGUGGAAUUCCUGGUGUAGCGGUGGAAUGCGCAGAUAUCAGGAGGAACACCGGUGGCGAAGGCGGGUCUCUGGGCCGUAACUGACGCUGAGGAGCGAAAGCAUGGGGAGCGAACAGG